AUUGAACGCUGGCGGCAGGCUUAACACAUGCAAGUCGAACGAGUGGCGGACGGGUGAGUAAUGCUUGGGAAUCUAGCUUAUGGCGGGGGAUAACUACGGGAAAAUGUAGCUAAUACCGCGUACCAUAGGAUGAGCCCAAGUGGGAUGAGGUAGUUGGUGAGGUAAAGGACCACCAAGCCGACGGUCUCUAGCUGGUCUGGGAGGCUGACCAGCCACAGGGGGACUGAGACACGGCCCAGACUCCAGCGGAAGGCAGCGUAGGGGAAUAUUGCGCAUUGGGGGCAACCUGACGCAGCCAUGCCGCGUGAAUGAAGAAGGCCUUCGAGUUGUAAGGUUCUUUCGGUAGCGAGGCGUUAACGACAGAAGAAGCACCGGCUAACUCCGUGCCAGCAGCCGCGGUAAUUC
This 405-nucleotide ribosomal RNA is filed under the name uncultured bacterium. RNAcentral's name for it is "partial 16S ribosomal RNA". It matches the Rfam family "Bacterial small subunit ribosomal RNA", at positions 30 to 526 of the family's 1533-position model. The record is from RNAcentral.